GGUUAUAGCUCAGUGGUAGAGUGCUUGCCUAGCACACGUGAGGCCCUGGGUUUAAUCCUCAGCACCA
Molecule: transfer RNA, 67 nt
Filed under: Marmota monax (woodchuck)
Lineage: Eukaryota; Metazoa; Chordata; Mammalia; Rodentia; Sciuridae
Description: tRNA.Ala
Source: RNAcentral